GUCACUUUGGUCGAGCGGUCUAAGACGUGGCACUCAAGAUGCUAUCCGAGUAAUUGGGCGUGGGUUCAAAUCCCACAGGUGACA
This 84-nucleotide transfer RNA is filed under the name Mitosporidium daphniae. It matches the Rfam family "tRNA". From Rfam's summary of the family: Transfer RNA (tRNA) molecules are approximately 80 nucleotides in length. Their secondary structure includes four short double-helical elements and three loops (D, anti-codon, and T loops). The record is from Rfam by way of RNAcentral. Lineage: Eukaryota; Fungi; Microsporidia.